RNAcentral lists this ribosomal RNA (253 nucleotides) under uncultured bacterium. Its description in RNAcentral is "partial 16S ribosomal RNA". It matches the Rfam family "Bacterial small subunit ribosomal RNA", at positions 524 to 776 of the family's 1533-position model. The record is from RNAcentral.
UACGUAGGUGGCAAGCGUUGUCCGGAUUUACUGGGCGUAAAGAGCGCGCAGGCGGUCGUGCAAGUCGGGUGUGAAAGCCCCCGGCUCAACUGGGGAGGGUCACGCGAUACUGCUCGACUUGAAGGCAGGAGAGGGAAGUGGAAUUCCCGGUGUAGUGGUGAAAUGCGUAGAUAUCGGGAGGAACACCAGUGGCGAAGGCGACUUCCUGGCCUGUUCUUGACGCUGAGGCGCGAAAGCUAGGGUAGCAAACGGG